RNAcentral lists this ribosomal RNA (497 nucleotides) under uncultured bacterium. RNAcentral's name for it is "partial 16S ribosomal RNA". It matches the Rfam family "Bacterial small subunit ribosomal RNA", at positions 28 to 507 of the family's 1533-position model. The record is from RNAcentral.
GAUGAACGCUGGCGGCGUGCCUAAUACAUGCAAGUCGAGCGAACAGACGAGGAGCUUGCUCCUUUGACGUUAGCGGCGGACGGGUGAGUAACACGUGGAUAACCUACCUAUAAGACUGGGAUAACUUCGGGAAACCGGAGCUAAUACCGGAUAACAUGUUGAACCGCAUGGUUCAACAGUGAAAGACGGUCUUGCUGUCACUUAUAGAUGGAUCCGCGCCGCAUUAGCUAGUUGGUAAGGUAACGGCUUACCAAGGCAACGAUGCGUAGCCGACCUGAGAGGGUGAUCGGCCACACUGGAACUGAGACACGGUCCAGACUCCUACGGGAGGCAGCAGUAGGGAAUCUUCCGCAAUGGGCGAAAGCUUGACGGAGCAACGCCGCGUGAGUGAAGAAGGUCUUCGGAUCGUAAAACUCUGUUAUUAGGGAAGAACAAAUGUGUAAGUAACUAUGCACGUCUUGACGGUACCUAAUCAGAAAGCCACGGCUAACUACGUG